AGUCCUCCUGACUUCAGGGUCGGUGCUGUAUCCGCUGUGCCACCUAGCUGCCCUGCAAAGCUUUACUUGUUAGGAGGUAUUUCCUUACCUCAAGCCUAAAGUUGCCUCUUUGAAAAUUCCAUCUAUUGCUCCCAGUUCUACCUUCCAGGACCAAACAAAACAGAUUUAUUUUCCAGCCUUAAAUUUUGUUGAAGAUAAUGGUCUCAGUAUCUCUGCUGAUUCCCUGUGAUUUUCUAAAUAAUCUCAUGUCAUGUCAUCAUCAGAUAAGAGGGGGUUACCCAGGGACCUGAAGGAACUGAGAAGAGGGCCCAGAAAGAGGAACCAGGCAGUUGAAGUACUGAACUCCAUGUGCUGAACUCCAUUUUGUUUUCUGACCUUCAUCUUGUAUGCCCUUCUUCAUGGAAGUAGGAGUUCCCGCCUUAGAAAACCCGCCAAGAAAGAUACCCACCCCAAUCUUAUUCCAUGAUCCUUAUAUGGUCCCAAAGGCAGGAUUAACCAAUCGCUUGUUUGGCUUCUGUAACUUCCCGCUUACACAACCCCUGACUGUUUCCUCUGUGGCCUCUGCCUUUAUAAACUCAAGCUCUGCCCCUGAUCAGGGCUGCUCGAUUUGGGUAUGUACCCCUUGCAACCACACGCUAAUAA
Long non-coding RNA from Phascolarctos cinereus (koala), 642 nucleotides. RefSeq lists it as uncharacterized. The record is from RefSeq and is a predicted model, not a curated record. NCBI's taxonomy places the organism in Eukaryota, Metazoa, Chordata, Mammalia, Diprotodontia, Phascolarctidae.